UGCAAAUACACGUAGGUAGGUAUAUUAUUCAUAUAUAUAUAUGUACGUGUGCUGUACGAACACUGCAAUAUUAUUUGUGAUAAAUGAAUAAUGACGAAUACAUCGCAGAAAAACGAGAAGACUUAUUUAACGAUUUAAAUAAAUCGCAUAUUUAAUUUGCGAUUUAUUAUUAUAGUAUAUGAUGUAUUAUAUACUUUCAAGUGGUUCGUCAACAGCACGUCGCGGUUAUAGUCCGACCGCAGUGUCUUUAUAGUCCGUACAGUACUUCAGUGUCCUGUAUAAACUAUGUGUGAUGUAUACGAACACUCGAAAUACUCAGUACAACCAGUGGUGGUUUCAGACAUUAAUAAAACAAGGCUAAGACACGGCAUAUAUUGUGGUCAUCUUUAAAUUAAUGUACGUUAGAGCUAUACUAUGAUUAUUGCAGUAAUACAAGCGAUUCAUCACCGUUUUAUAAAUCAACUGUGAAGCGAAGGGCAGCUAUAGACGUUUUAAAAACGUACGAUCAGAUCCUGGAAUAUCACACCUAUAUCUGUCAGUAUCCGCCCUCGUCAUAUAUAACGCUAUUGAAACGACCAAGACCAAUGUAAAUUCCAGAUAUAUUUAUAACAUCAAAAUGAGAGGCAAUAUACAAUCGUAAAUUAUCUGAACAAAUAAUCACUUUAACAUAGCAGCCAGCAGAACGCAAUGUUGACUAAAUAGCAUACAUUAUUUGGCACCAGAGGUGUCCAGCUUUCUGUGAAGACUGGGCCACACCAUGUGAGUAGAAGUUGUUGUGGAUCACAUACCUUAUAAUAACAAUACAUUAAAAUUUAAUGAUUAAAUUAUAAUUCAACAAUAUUUAUAAUUUUAGCAUAGCGAUUAUCUGUGCUUUAUAAUGAUAAUUAUAUUUAUUUUUAUAUGAUGAUAACACGACAUGGGAUAAACGCCAUUAACAUAUCUUCAAUAAUGGCAUAAUAUAAUAAUUUAUUGAAAUCGAACCACGGACCAAGUUGAUCGUCUGUACCAGUAUCGAUAAUAAUCAAUUUGUAUUCAGCACCCGUGUCCGACACAACAAAGUAAUAUUACGUACAAAUAAUUAGUGAUUUUGAAAUCGAAGUGAGGGCCGCAUGUGGACGAAUACCAUUAUUUCGGUUUGUUAAAAUAUCGAGAAUAUACGGAUAAAUAACAUUGAUGUACCCGAAUUGCCUAUCCAUAACGCCGCGUGAUCAUAAUUGGAUUACUCAACUAAUUUAUCAACGAGUAGUAUCGGUACAUUGCGUGUGGGCACGUGUUAUCACGUCAGGAUUUAUGAAUCUUUUCGUUGCCAGCGAAUUUUUCCAACAUGUAGUGAAAUCUAUGUUAUGAAAGAGGGAGAGAGAUAUCCGAUGUUUCACGGUAAUAUUAAUAUGGAGGCGUUGGAACUAGGAUUAUUCAUCAAACUUUAAAAUAGACCACCGCUAGCGUGUCUCGUGGGAUAUUCUUUCACGCCACUUAUGUUGCGUGGACUAUUCAUGGAUAAUUAUAUGUAACAUAAUAUUAACAUUUUUUUAAAGUUUAUAUUCUGCAAAAUUUGUAAUCGUUA
Aphis gossypii (cotton aphid) is the source of this 1564-nucleotide long non-coding RNA. RefSeq lists it as uncharacterized. The transcript is spliced from 6 exons. The record is from RefSeq and is a predicted model, not a curated record. NCBI's taxonomy places the organism in Eukaryota, Metazoa, Arthropoda, Insecta, Hemiptera, Aphididae.